This 465-nucleotide ribosomal RNA is filed under the name Vreelandella stevensii. RNAcentral's name for it is "partial 16S ribosomal RNA". It matches the Rfam family "Bacterial small subunit ribosomal RNA", at positions 338 to 795 of the family's 1533-position model. Lineage: Bacteria; Pseudomonadati; Pseudomonadota; Gammaproteobacteria; Oceanospirillales; Halomonadaceae. The record is from RNAcentral.
CCUACGGGGGGCUGCAGUGGGGAAUAUUGGACAAUGGGCGAAAGCCUGAUCCAGCCAUGUCGCGUGUGUGAAGAAGGCCUUCGGGUUGUAAAGCACUUUCAGUGGGGAAGAAAGCCUUGGGGCUAAUACCCUCGAGGAAGGACAUCACCCACAGAAGAAGCACCGGCUAACUCCGUGCCAGCAGCCGCGGUAAUACGGAGGGUGCGAGCGUUAAUCGGAAUUACUGGGCGUAAAGCGCGCGUAGGCGGUCUGAUAAGCCGGUUGUGAAAGCCCCGGGCUCAACCUGGGAACGGCAUCCGGAACUGUCAGGCUAGAGUGCAGGAGAGGAAGGUAGAAUUCCCGGUGUAGCGGUGAAAUGCGUAGAGAUCGGGAGGAAUACCAGUGGCGAAGGCGGCCUUCUGGACUGACACUGACGCUGAGGUGCGAAAGCGUGGGUAGCAAACAGGAUUAGAUACCCCAGUAGUC